RNAcentral lists this transfer RNA (74 nucleotides) under Actinomycetota bacterium. Its description in RNAcentral is "tRNA-Thr". It matches the Rfam family "tRNA". Rfam says of the family: Transfer RNA (tRNA) molecules are approximately 80 nucleotides in length. Their secondary structure includes four short double-helical elements and three loops (D, anti-codon, and T loops). Further hydrogen bonds mediate the characteristic L-shaped molecular structure. tRNAs have two regions of fundamental functional importance: the anti-codon, which is responsible for specific mRNA codon recognition, and the 3' end, to which the tRNAs corresponding amino acid is attached (by aminoacyl-tRNA synthetases). tRNAs cope with the degeneracy of the genetic code in two manners: having more than one tRNA (with a specific anti-codon) for a particular amino acid; and 'wobble' base-pairing, i.e. permitting non-standard base-pairing at the 3rd anti-codon position. The record is from RNAcentral. Lineage: Bacteria; Bacillati; Actinomycetota.
GCCGGCGUGGCGCAACUGGUCAGCGCACCCGACUUGUAAUCGGGAGGUUAGGGGUUCGAUCCCCCUCGCCGGCU